Non-coding RNA from Caretta caretta (loggerhead turtle), 2526 nucleotides. The record is from RefSeq and is a predicted model, not a curated record. NCBI's taxonomy places the organism in Eukaryota, Metazoa, Chordata, Testudines, Cheloniidae.
AUCAAAGGAAUUGAGAUAGUACUAUAUACAGCUAUUAUAUCAGACCCUCUAUUAACCAAAACUUCUGGUAAAAGUUAGUAACACCUGAAACUCCUGUUUCCUCCCCCAUUGAUAAAAAAUUCCAUCAUCUGAAUGUUUCUGAAGUCCCCAAAAUAUUUUAGAUAGAAGUUACACUCCACUGGGUGCUUAGUAGUUUAAUUUUCUUCUAUCACAUGUAACACUUGUUCAUCUUAGCAAAGAGGGAAUUCUCUUGACACCCUUGCACUGUUCUUGUGGAAGACACCAUUCUUCACACAUAAAUACGAAUACACAGUUAAAGAUUUAUAAACAUUCUGCCGGGAUUAGAGGUUACACACUGAUGACUUUCUACAUUCCAUGUCUGUCAAAAUUAGACUGAAUUUCUUGGAACUGGAUUAUAGUAGGUUUCACCUUACUGAUUUGCUCUUCCCACAAAUAUCAUCAGAACUAUGUGUUUCUAACUGUUGAAAAGAAUUCAUUCAGCAGAAUAGAUGACCUCUUUAGAGAGACUUCUUACUAUGUUCACAGUACACUACGGGGGGUCUACACUGCAUUGGAGAGGUGACUGCAGUUUAGGGAGCCAUUGCCAUGAGUUUUAAUUUAGCUACUGCAGCUAAAAAUAGCAGUGAAGAUUUAACAAAACAGACCCCAGCACCAGUUAACAACAUGAGGACGUACCCAGAGUUCUGGGUGUGCUUGUACAGCCCGUGCUGUAGCCUGUGCUGCCUUACCUUCACUGCUAUUUUUAGCUGCACUACCUAAAUUAAAGCUAGCAUAGGUAUGCCCACCGGAGCUACAGUCGCAGCUCUGACUGCAAUGUAGACAUACUCUUAGUGGAACAUCUGUCAGGUUCUAACCACUUCCAGUUAUCAAAAAAUACUUUGGUCUUUUUGUUAACAUCCAAAACUUACUCUCAUCAAGGACACAUGAACAACUGGAUUGUUCAGCACGCAAGAUGUCAAAGGUUUUGACAAGGAAGGGAGUGGAGGAUGUAAAAUAAAAUAGAGAUUGUUCCAUUUCAUAGUGCAGCCAACAAAGUUGGAUUGGGUUUUUAUUUAUUUAUUUUUAAUAGUUUCUUACUUUCCCCGAGACAAGCAGAUUUUCACACACAGAGUACAGAUGCCAGCAAUGACUGUCUUUUUUGGGCAGGGAGGAGAAGCAGCACCAGGAGCAGCUGUCACUGGAAAAAUGUGUAUGCUUUAGGUUUAAAUUUUACUUCUAUUGCUGCAAUUUAUUGCCUUGUCAGUAUGUGUAACAUUUAUUAUUUGAGGGGAUACUUUGGUUCUAUGUAUAUCCUAUUAUAAGAUGUUUCUCAGAACUCCUGCUGUUAUUGUGCAGACUUUCUCCAUGAUAAAUGCAUUUUAUAAUUUCAGAGGACUGGAAUAAAAUCUUUACCAUUGUUUCCCAACAUAGGAGGGCCAAUUGUUGUGUGGACUGCAACAAAUGUGACAUUUAGAUUAGAAUUUGCAAUAUUAUCAGCAUAUACAAUGUGUUCUUAUAUUUACUUUAAACCAGAAUGUUUAAAAUACUGAUCUAGUACUUUGAACAAAUGUUAUUUUUAACCUUUAGAGCCCAUUAGAAAAUGAAGGUUACUUAUCCACAACCAGAGUUCUUUGAGAUGAGCCUCUGGAUAGUCACACUUCUGGGAUGAAGGUGCCUGAGCUGGAAGCUUCUGGAACCUUCUGGAAAGCAGUGUCCACUGGGGUUACUUGCACCUCCUCCUCGCUCCCAACCUGGAGAGUUCUGAGAGUAUAAAAGGGGAAAUAUCCAAGCCACCCCUCAGUUUCUUCCACUAAUUUGGGAAUUCCUAACCUGAGACUCUGAAGAAGUGGAGAAAGUGGGCUGGGAGUGCGAAUAUGCAGAGGCUUAUCUCGAAGAACUCUAGUUUUAGCUGCAGUAUCAGUCAUGCAACACGAUCUGAUGAUGACAGCAUGAGGGCAUGCCACAGACAUGGUCUCUGCUCUGGAUGAAGACUGACAACUUCCAGGACGUUGAAGUUGUGUCAGGUCAUGACAACUGUAAAACACAGUGUGACAGAUGGACAACCUUUGGCUCCUCAGAUUCUUUUUGACCUCAGCUUAACACUCACAAUCAAGACACCAAGCAAUCUAGAAUCAAGAUGUCAACCAGAGAAACUCUGAACCUUGGUGGAGACUCCCACCUCAUCUCACAGGCAGGGGACUCAGUAGUUUGGAAAAAAAUGACUUUAUAGACAUUAAUAUCAAAGUGUAAAUGCCCCCAAUGGUCUGGAAAGCCUGGGGCUAAGCCAAUCCUGAUUACAGGACAAGCCACAUUGGGGUUGAAUCAGCUAAUCUAAUAUAAAAGACAGCAGGAUGCUGCAGAUGUGGGGCUGGUUGAGAGAGUAACUGAAAUUGCCAGAGGCAGGAAACCUAUUGAAUAAGCAGAAGAAAGAUCUCCAAGCAGGGAAGCCUGGGUGAGACCUUCUCCAAGAAGCAAGGUAGAGACUGAGACACAGACCUCAUGAGUUUAUAUUUUGUUCUUCGAGGA